RNAcentral lists this ribosomal RNA (460 nucleotides) under uncultured bacterium. RNAcentral's name for it is "partial 16S ribosomal RNA". It matches the Rfam family "Bacterial small subunit ribosomal RNA", at positions 338 to 795 of the family's 1533-position model. The record is from RNAcentral.
CCUACGGGAGACAGCAGUGAGGAAUAUUGGUCAAUGGACAAGAGUCUGAACCAGCCAAGUAGCGUGAAGGAUGACUGCCCUAUGGGUUGUAAACUUCUUUUAUAUGGGAAUAAAAUGUUCCACGUGUGGGAUUUUGUAUGUACCAUAUGAAUAAGGAUCGGCUAACUCCGUGCCAGCAGCCGCGGUAAUACGGAGGAUCCGAGCGUUAUCCGGAUUUAUUGGGUUUAAAGGGAGCGUAGGUGGAUUGUUAAGUCAGUUGUGAAAGUUUGCGGCUCAACCGUAAAAUUGCAGUUGAAACUGGCAGUCUUGAGUACAGUAGAGGUGGGCGGAAUUCGUGGUGUAGCGGUGAAAUGCUUAGAUAUCACGAAGAACUCCGAUUGCGAAGGCAGUUCACUGGACUGCAACUGACACUGAGGCUCGAAAGUGUGGGUAUCAAACAGGAUUAGAUACCCGAGUAGUC